AUGGCGGCUGAGCAGGAGGCACCGGCGCCGACACGAUCUCCGCACACCUACACCAUAGGCUACGCGCUGCAGCCCGACAAGCUGGACACCGUCAUCCAGCCGCCGCUCGUCGCCAUGGCAGCCGAGCGCGGCAUGCGGCUCCUCGCCGUCGACCCCUCCCACUCUCUCGUCGACCAGGGACCCUUCCACCUCCUCAUCCACAAGCUGUACGACGAGUCAUGGCGUGCACAGCUGGAGGCCUUCUCCGCGGCCCACCCCACCGUCCCCGUCGUCGACCCUCCCGCCGCCAUCGGCCACCUGCUCGACCGCGGCUCCAUGCUCGACGUCGUCUCCGAGCUCAACGCCCCCGUCCAUGUGGGCUCCAUGCUCGAAUAUGCGUGGACUUCUUCUUUAAGUCGGCUGACCAAGGUGCUGGUGGUGGCCAACACCAUCGGGAAGACAGAGCCGAUUUGCAGCCGCCGUGGCGUGGACAUUGCAAAGGCGGCGGCGGGCAGCGUCGAGCUGCGGGAGGUGGAGGAGGGGAAGAGGCGCCGGACACGGGCGGGGACGCCCACCAGCAGUCUGCGGCGGUGGACGAGCCAUGGAUUCAGCCGUAGGUUCGCUCGAUGCUGCUCCUGA
This 618-nucleotide ribosomal RNA is filed under the name Triticum aestivum (bread wheat). Its description in RNAcentral is "partial small subunit ribosomal RNA". Lineage: Eukaryota; Viridiplantae; Streptophyta; Magnoliopsida; Poales; Poaceae. The record is from RNAcentral.